CCGGCCGAAAGCUAGGUCCGGAUUGCACGUGGAGGGCCGCCCGAAGGGCACUCUCGGACAUUAACCCGCAUUCUGUACCAUGGGGCGCAAGUUGGACCCUACGAAGGAGAAGCGGGGGCCAGGCCGAAAGGCCCGGAAGCAGAAGGGUGCCGAGACAGAACUCGUCAGAUUCUUGCCUGCAGUGGCACUGGGGUCAUCUCCAAGGAUCCAGCCGUGAAGACUAACAAGGAUGAGAAGGACAUCCUGCGCUGUGCUCACCUCCAGAAGGAGUUGCUCCUGAGUGCUAUUGACUCUGUCAAUGCGACCUCCAAGACAGGAGGCUACCUGGUUUACUGCACCUGUUCUAUCACGGUAGAAGAGAAUGAGUGGGUGGUAGACUAUGCUCUGAAAAAGAGGAAUGUGCGACUGGUGCCCACAGGCCUAGACUUUGGCCAGGAAGGUUUUACCCGCUUUCAAGAAAGGCGCUUCCACCCCAGUCUGCGUUCUACCCGACGCUUCUACCCUCAUACCCACAAUAUGGAUGGGUUCUUCAUUGCCAAGUUCAAGAAAUUUUCCAAUUCUAUCCCUCAGUCCCAGACAGGAAAUUCUGAAACAGCCACACCUACAAAUGUAGACUUGCCUCAGGUCAUCCCCAAGUCUGAGAACAGCAGCCAGCCAGCCAAGAAAGCCAAGGGGGCUGCAAAGACAAAGCAGCAGCUGCAGAAACAGCAACAUCCCAAGAAGGCCUCCUUCCAGAAGCUGAAUGGCAUCUCCAAAGGGGCAGACUCAGAAUUGUCCACUGUACCUUCUGUCACAAAGACCCAAGCUUCCUCCAGCUUCCAGGAUAGCAGUCAGCCAGCUGGAAAAGCCGAAGGGAUCAGGGAGCCAAAGGUGACUGGGAAGCUAAAGCAACGAUCACCUAAAUUACAGUCCUCCAAGAAAGUUGCUUUCCUCAAGCAGAAUGCCCCUCCCAAGGGCACAGACACACAAACACCGGCUGUGUUAUCCCCAUCCAAGACUCAG
Molecule: small RNA, 1002 nt
Filed under: Pan troglodytes (chimpanzee)
Lineage: Eukaryota; Metazoa; Chordata; Mammalia; Primates; Hominidae
Description: processed transcript
Source: RNAcentral